GUGCUCUUGCUCCCCAUGAGGCUGCCUACAAAAAUAAGACUCAUUAUUCCUUUCUUCCUAUUGUCUUCUUCCUUUGCUUGUGAUGCUUUUGUCUGUUCCUGAUCCUCCUAUUCUUCCUAAGACCCCUUUUCAGCCUGUGCCUGUCCACGUGGAGCUUACAUCACACGGUGGCUUUUCAGUGAUCCCUACAGCAAGAAUAGAUAUAUUUGUCUUUCUUAUUUAUGACCAAAGCAAGGGAACAGGAAGCCCAGAAACAGAUCUGUAUGUAUCAGGAUUUCGGAUUUAUGACAGAGGGCACUGCUGAGCAGUGGGGAAUGGAUGAUCAGUUUAAUAAAUAGUGCUGGUUCAACAGGAUAUCUACAAGGAAAAAAAAAAAGUAUCUUGAUCCUAUCUUGAUCCUUGAAUUUAUGAAAAUAAAUUCCAACAAGAUCAAUCUAAAGAAGAAAAUUAAAAUUGCAUGUAUAAGAUAACAGUAUCUUCAUAACCUUGGGGGUAGCCAUUCAGUUCCUAAAGAAGACACAGAAAGUAUUCACCAUAAAGGAAAAGCUUGAAAAAUUGGGUGACGUUAAAAUGAGAUACUUCUGGUUGGUCAUCAAGACAUCAGUAAAAGUGAGCCAAAGCAGGGAGCAUGGAGAAGGUAGAUGCAGUACCCAUAACUAGCAAGCGGAAGCAUAUCCAGACUACAUAAAGAACGCCAACAAAUCCAUAAGAGCCCUUCCCCACAAGGCAGGCAAAAGAAUGCUUCGUACUUAGGAAUUGUGCUGGUAAACAGUUUCCUUCUCCCGGUUCCAGGUUUUAAUCAGUGUGUCCUGGAUCAUUGGCACAACCUGGUGGCUGGCCUUGGGAACUGUCUCACCCAGGGCUCUUGUCAUUUCCUUUUUGUGUGCGGCCUUUCCUGUGUGUUGCUUCACUCAGCUCUUGAUUCUGCCCCACGUACCUCCUUUCUCAUGAACGCAUAUGCCUGUUCCUCUUUUCCUUUGGCUUGUUAACUUUUGAUCAGCUAUUUUAAGAAUAUUUCUCUCUGGCUUUUUUUUUUUUCCCCCUUCCUUUUUCAUUUCCCUUUUUGUACCUUCUCGUUGAGCCCAAAACCUUGUGGUUGUAAAAGCUGUCCUAAAAUAUCUCAGAGACUUUGGGGGAGUAGACUUGUGCUGUGGGACUCCAGAGACAGAACAAGAACCUGAACAGGCUGGUGUUUACCCAUAGAGAGUUUUCUUCUUUGCUGUACUCAAGAAGUAGGGUAGGAGAUCCUGGAGGAAGUCGAGUCUAGGCAGUGACUUGGGCUAGUGUUGUUUAUGGAGGGCCUUAUGCCUCGCAUAGGCAGGUGGAUUAUGAUAAUCCCUUCCAUUCUUAUCACCAAAGCCCUUGACAGACCCUUCGUGCAUGUCCAGAGCAACAGCACUCAGCUGGGGGAAAGCCAAGUUCCUCUGCACUUCUGGCAGGUCAAGGUGGGGCACAGAUAGUAGUACUUUAAUUGUAGCAUGUAUACUUAAAAAUGAUUCCAGCACACUCUCCAUCUGCAGCCCUCUGCAACAGGCCAGUUAAAAACCAUUGAC
This 1553-nucleotide long non-coding RNA is filed under the name Marmota monax (woodchuck). The record is from RNAcentral. Lineage: Eukaryota; Metazoa; Chordata; Mammalia; Rodentia; Sciuridae.